RNAcentral lists this ribosomal RNA (493 nucleotides) under uncultured bacterium. RNAcentral describes it as "partial 16S ribosomal RNA". It matches the Rfam family "Bacterial small subunit ribosomal RNA", at positions 30 to 523 of the family's 1533-position model. The record is from RNAcentral.
AUUGAACGCUGGCGGCAUGCCUUACACAUGCAAGUCGAACGGUAACAGGUUAAGCUGACGAGUGGCGAACGGGUGAGUAAUGUAUCGGAACGUGCCCAGUCGUGGGGGAUAACGUAGCGAAAGCUACGCUAAUACCGCAUACGAUCUACGGAUGAAAGCGGGGGAUCGCAAGACCUCGCGCGAUUGGAGCGGCCGAUAUCAGAUUAGGUUGUUGGUGAGGUAAAAGCUCACCAAGCCUGCGAUCUGUAGCUGGUCUGAGAGGACGACUAGCCAAACUGGAACUGAGAAACGGUCCAGACUCCUACGGGAGGCAGCAGUGGGGAAUUUUGGACAAUGGACGCAAGUCUGAUCCAGCAAUGCCGCGUGCAGGACGAAGGCCUUCGGGUUGUAAACUGCUUUUGUACGGAACGAAACGGUGAGCUCUAAUACAGUUUGCUAAUGACGGUACCGUAAGAAUAAGCACCGGCUAACUACGUGCCAGCCGCCGCGGUAA